CCCCAGUACUCACACUCCAUCUGACUGCUAAGAGCAUCCCUUCCCCAAUGGCAUCUUCAGGCUGAGAAGCAUCAAAGAGAGUGAGCAACUGUCUCGAGCCUUAGAAGGAAAAAAGGCAGGGAGAGAAGAAGGAAAAAGCAAUUCUCUUCAAGAAUUUCAUGGUGGCAUUCUCUCCAACUGCUUCUCCCAUGGACCAGAAAUCAUACCUAAUUCAGAGAGUAACUUUUGGAUGAAGGUAGAAGCAGAGGAACACCAAAAAUGCAAUUAUUUUUGCUCCAGGGGUGAGGAUGGCAGCAGGACACGUAUUUCAUACAGUGCUGUACUCCACAGUGGAUGCAAGACUCAGCACUGCAGCCUCUGAACACUUGAGGACUUUGCCUUGCUAUUCAGCAUGCAGUGCAGUCUCACUGUCUGAUGGGUUCUGCCAUGGCUGCAAAGGCUCUGAGUCUGGUUGAGAUGGGCGAGUUAAGAAGCAGCUGCAGAAAUCAAGCUAAGUGAGCAUUCAGCUACAUUUUAGUAGUCCCUAGGAAGAUUAUAACUGUAUGUUUCGGCAUUGGGCAUCAUUGCAUGUAUAAUUUUCAAGAGAACAAAUACUUUUAGAUUUGC
Molecule: long non-coding RNA, 606 nt
Organism: Gallus gallus (chicken)
Lineage: Eukaryota; Metazoa; Chordata; Aves; Galliformes; Phasianidae
Source: Ensembl